UACGUAGGGGGGCUAGCGUUUGUCCGGAAUCAUUGGGCGAAAGCGCGUGUAGGCGGUCCGGUAAGUCCGCUGUGAAAGUCGGGGGCUCAACCCUCGAAUGCCGGUGGAUACUGUCGGGCUAGAGUGCGGGAGAGGCGAGUGGAAUUCCUGGUGUAGCGGUGAAAUGCGCAGAUAUCCGGAGGAACACCGGUGGCGAAGGCGGCUUCCUGGACCGACACUGACGCUGAUGAGCGAAAGCUAGGGGAGCAAACGGG
RNAcentral lists this ribosomal RNA (254 nucleotides) under uncultured bacterium. RNAcentral's name for it is "partial 16S ribosomal RNA". It matches the Rfam family "Bacterial small subunit ribosomal RNA", at positions 524 to 776 of the family's 1533-position model. The record is from RNAcentral.